UAUCGAACGCUCGCAAAGGGGAAGAUCGGAGAGGAGUGGAUCACACUCGAGACUGUCGCUGGCGGAUUCGAUUCGCGUCCGCAUGUGCACGUCCUAGCAUUCACUUUUUCCUGUCGACCUUUUUCGAUCUCAUUCACACACACCUGUGCACCCAUCGUAGGUCUUCGCAAGAAGAUCUAUGUCUUUCAUAACACUGCUUCGUAUGGCCAUAGAAUGUAUAAAAACAUAUUACAACUUUCAGCAACGGAUCUCUUGGUUCUCGCAUCGAUGAAGAACGCAGCGAAUUGCGAUAAGUAAUGUGAAUUGCAGAUUUCCAGCGAAUCAUCGAAUCUUUGAACGCACCUUGCGCUCCUCGGUAUUCCGAGGAGCAUGCCCGUUUGAGUGUCAUUAAAUUCUCAACCAUGUCUUGAUCCACUUCGAGCAACAUGGCUUGGAUUUGGGAGUUGCUGGCGACGGAAGGUCGUCGGCUCUCCUUAAAUGCAUUAGCAAAGGGUUCUGCAAAGCAUUCCGACCGGGGACGUGCACGGCCUUUGAUGUGAUAAUGAUCGUCAUCGCUGGAGCGUCAGGGUUUGGACUUGGACUUUCGUAGAAAACGAAGCUCUUUGCUUCCAAUUCGGACCGUCGGUUCUGAAAGGCAAAGGCGGGCUUAUUAGUCUUCGGGCUAGUUAUUAGUCAACCAAGGUUGGCGAAAGCAGCACGAGCGCGAACGGCUAGCUUAAGCUUGGAUCGGCGUUCAUCUUUGAAACUUG
This 749-nucleotide unclassified non-coding RNA is filed under the name Boletaceae sp. 1 CG-2012. Its description in RNAcentral is "sequence contains ITS1, 5.8S rRNA gene, ITS2". The stretch from base 233 to 387 matches the Rfam family "5.8S ribosomal RNA". Lineage: Eukaryota; Fungi; Basidiomycota; Agaricomycetes; Boletales; Boletaceae. The record is from RNAcentral.